ACGGCUCAGUAACACGUCGACAAUCUGCCUUCAGGUCCGGGAUAACCUUGGGAAACUGAGGAUAAUACCGGAUAAGGAACUGGUUCUGGAACGGCUUUUUCCUUAAAAGCAAUGCCUGAAGAUGAGUCGGCGGCGGAUUAGGUUGUUGGUGGGGUAACGGCCCACCAAGCCAAAGAUCCGUACGGGCCCUGAGAGGGGUAGCCCGGAGAAGGACACUGAGAUACUGGUCCUAGCCCUACGGGGUGCAGCAGGCGCGAAAACUCUGCAAUGCACGAAAGUGUGACAGGGGAAUCCCAAGUGCUUAUACUUAGUAUAGGCUUUUGCCAAGAGUAAAAAUCUUGGCGAAUAAGUGGUGGGUAAGACUGGUGCCAGCCGCCGCGGUAACCCCAGCGCCACAAGUGGCGAUCGCUUUUAUUGGGUCUAAAGCGUCCGUAGCCGGUCCAGUGAAUCUCUUGUGAAAUUGUCAGGCUUAACCUGUCAGCGUGCAGGAGACACUGCUGGACUUGGAACCGGGAGAGGUCAAGAGUAUUCCUGGGGGAGCGGUAAAAUGUUAUAAUCCCAGGAGGACUACCUAUGGCAGAGGCACUUGACCAGCACGGAUUCGACGGUGAGGGACGAAAGCUAGGGGAGCAAAACGGAUUAGAUACCCGAGUAGUCCUAGCUGUAAACUCUGUGAGCAAGGUGUUGCAUAUUCUUCGUGAAUACGUAGUAUCGAAACGAAGGUGUUAAGCUCACCACCUGGGAAGUACGGCCGCAAGACUGAAACUUAAAGGAAUUGGCGGGGGAGCAC
Molecule: ribosomal RNA, 790 nt
Filed under: uncultured euryarchaeote
Lineage: Archaea; Methanobacteriati; Methanobacteriota
Description: bacterial SSU rRNA
Rfam family: Archaeal small subunit ribosomal RNA
Source: RNAcentral